UCCGUAGGCGUUUCGAUUAGUCUGAUGUUAAAUCUUGGAGCUCAACUCCAAGCUCGUAUCGGAAACUAUCGAAAUAGAGUAGUGUAGAGGCAGAUGGAAUUCCAGAAGUAGGGGUAAAAUCCGUAGACCUCUGGAGGAACACCAAACGCGAAGGCAUUCUGCUGGGCACUUACUGACGCUGAGGGACGAAAGCGUGGGUAGCGAACG
This 207-nucleotide ribosomal RNA is filed under the name uncultured bacterium. RNAcentral describes it as "partial 16S ribosomal RNA". It matches the Rfam family "Bacterial small subunit ribosomal RNA", at positions 568 to 774 of the family's 1533-position model. The record is from RNAcentral.